AGAGUUUGAUCCUGGCUCAGGAUGAACGCUGGCGGUAUGCUUAACACAUGCAAGUCGAACGGAUGUUUUCGGACAUUAGUGGCGGACGGGUGAGUAACGCGUGAGAAUCUAGCUUCAGGUUGGGGACAACAGUUGGAAACGACUGCUAAUACCGAAUAUGCCGAGAGGUGAAAGAUUAAUUGCCUGAAGAAGAGCUCGCGUCUGAUUAGCUAGUUGGUGGGGUAAGAGCUUACCAAGGCGACGAUCGGUAGCUGGUCUGAGAGGACGAUCAGCCACACUGGGACUGAGACACGGCCCAGACUCCUACGGGAGGCAGCAGUGGGGAAUUUUCCGCAAUGGGCGAAAGCCUGACGGAGCAAUACCGCGUGAGGGAAGAAGGCUCUUGGGUUGUAAACCUCUUUUCUUAGGGAAGAAAAAAAUGACGGUACCUAAGGAAUAAGCAUCGGCUAACUCCGUGCCAGCAGCCGCGGUAAUACGGAGGAUGCAAGCGUUAUCCGGAAUGAUUGGGCGUAAAGCGUCCGCAGGUGGCAAGUCAAGUUUGCGGUUAAAGGUUCUGGCUCAACCAGAGACAGGCCGUGAAAACUGACUAGCUAGAGUAUGGUAGGGGCAGAGGGAAUUCCCAGUGUAGCGGUGAAAUGCGUAGAGAUUGGGAAGAACACCGGUGGCGAAAGCGCUCUGCUAGGCCAAAACUGACACUGAGGGACGAAAGCUAGGGGAGCGAAUGGGAUUAGAUACCCCUGUAGUCC
Molecule: ribosomal RNA, 746 nt
Filed under: uncultured cyanobacterium
Lineage: Bacteria; Bacillati; Cyanobacteriota
Description: bacterial SSU rRNA
Rfam family: Bacterial small subunit ribosomal RNA
Source: RNAcentral